CCUACGGGAGGCAGCAGUGGGGAAUAUUGGGCAAUGGGCGCAAGCCUGACCCAGCAACGCCGCGUGAAGGAAGAAGGCUUUCGGGUUGUAAACUUCUUUUCUCAGGGACGAAGCAAGUGACGGUACCGGAGGAAUAAGCCACGGCUAAAGACGUGCCAGCAGCCGCGGUAAUACGUAGGGGGCAAGCGUUAUCCGGAUUUACUGGGUGUAAAGGGCGUGUAGGCGGGACGGCAAGUCAGAGGUGAAAACCAUGGGCUCAACCUCUGGCCUGCUUUUGAAACUGUAGUUCUUGAGUACUGGAGAGGCAGUCGGAAUUCCUAGUGUAGCGGUGAAAUGCGUAGAUAUUAGGCGGAACCCCAGUGGCGAAGGCGGUCUGCUGGACCGCAACUGACGCUGAGGCGCGAAAGCGUGGGGAGCAAACAGGAUUAGAUACCCCGGUAGUC
Molecule: ribosomal RNA, 443 nt
Filed under: uncultured bacterium
Lineage: Bacteria
Description: partial 16S ribosomal RNA
Rfam family: Bacterial small subunit ribosomal RNA
Source: RNAcentral